This 253-nucleotide ribosomal RNA is filed under the name uncultured bacterium. RNAcentral describes it as "partial 16S ribosomal RNA". It matches the Rfam family "Bacterial small subunit ribosomal RNA", at positions 524 to 776 of the family's 1533-position model. The record is from RNAcentral.
UACGAAGGGGGCUAGCGUUGUUCGGAUUUACUGGGCGUAAAGCGCACGUAGGCGGAUUGUUAAGUCAGGGGUGAAAUCCCGGAGCUCAACUCCGGAACUGCCUUUGAUACUGGCAAUCUUGAGACUGGAAGAGGUUAGUGGAAUUCCCAGUGUAGAGGUGAAAUUCGUAGAUAUUGGGAAGAACACCGGUGGCGAAGGCGGCCAUCUGGACCGCAACUGACGCUGAGGCGCGAAAGCGUGGGGAGCAAACAGG